Molecule: ribosomal RNA, 587 nt
Filed under: uncultured delta proteobacterium
Lineage: Bacteria; Deltaproteobacteria
Description: bacterial SSU rRNA
Rfam family: Bacterial small subunit ribosomal RNA
Source: RNAcentral
CCUACGGGAGGCAGCAGUGAGGAAUAUUGGGCAAUGGGCGCAAGCCUGACCCAGCCACGCCGCGUGUGUGAUGAAGGCCUUCGGGUCGUAAAGCACUGUGGGGAGAGACGAAACAGCGCAUCAGGAAAUGGGUGCGCCUUGACGGUACCUCCUUAGCAAGCACCGGCUAACUCUGUGCCAGCAGCCGCGGUAAUACAGAGGGUGCGAACGUUGCUCGGAUUUACUGGGCGUAAAGCGCGUGUAGGCGGACUCGCAAGUCGGUUGUGAAAUCCCUGGGCUCAACCUAGGAACUGCAUCCGAAACUGCUUGUCUUGAGUAAUGGAGAGGGUGGCGGAAUUCCCGGUGUAGAGGUGAAAUUCGUAGAUAUCGGGAGGAACAUCAGUGGCGAAGGCGGCCACCUGGACAUUUACUGACGCUGAGACGCGAAAGCGUGGGGAGCAAACAGGAUUAGAUACCCUGGUAGUCCACGCCGUAAACGAUGAGCAUUAGGUGCAGCGGAUAUUGACCUCUGCUGUGCCGUAGCUAACGCGUUAAAUGCUCCGCCUGGGGAGUACGGCCGCAAGGCUAAAACUCAAAUGAAUUGACGG